UGGGUCGACUGGACGGUCGCGUUGCGGGUGGUUUCCGCUCGUACCGAGGAACGUCCGGGCUCCAUAGGGCAGGGCGGUGGGUAACACCCACCCGGAGCAAUCCGCGAGACAGUGCCACAGAGAGCAGACCGCCAGGACGCGAGUCCCGGUAAGGGUGAAAGGGUGGUGUAAGAGACCACCGGGUUCGCGGUGACGCGAACCGCACGGCAAACCUCGCCCGGAGCAAGGCCAGACAGGGGAUGCAGACGCUGCCCGCCGAGUCCCCGGGUAGGCCGCUAGAACGGCAUGGCAACGUGUCGUCGAGAGAGAUGACCGUCCACGAAGCGCGAGCUUCCGGACAGAACCCGGCGUACAGGUCGACCCAUUCG
RNAcentral lists this RNase P RNA (368 nucleotides) under Microbacterium sp. RB-01. RNAcentral's name for it is "Bacterial RNase P class A". It matches the Rfam family "Bacterial RNase P class A". Rfam says of the family: Ribonuclease P (RNase P) is a ubiquitous endoribonuclease, found in archaea, bacteria and eukarya as well as chloroplasts and mitochondria. Its best characterised activity is the generation of mature 5'-ends of tRNAs by cleaving the 5'-leader elements of precursor-tRNAs. Lineage: Bacteria; Bacillati; Actinomycetota; Actinomycetes; Micrococcales; Microbacteriaceae. The record is from RNAcentral. RNAcentral also lists the same sequence under 1 other name.